ACCCGGAGGACCCCCAGUGGAAAGCUGCACGGGAAUUGUGGCUGCGGUUCUGUGCACGGCGAGAAAGGCGAUAAGCUACCUGUUGGCAGAGAAAGAUGAGAAAAUUGAAGAUCAGCAUUGCUUCAGAUGACCUAGGAGUGUGUGGAAGAAGUCACCCUGCUGUCAGAAAUGUAAGACUCGGUUUCCAGGUCUCCGGGGGCACGGAAGAAGCCCCUCUCCAGAAAGGAUGGGUUAUUUGAAGUGACGCCCAGGACCGUUGGCAUUGUCCUUUCCUAUGCUUACAUUUUCAGCCUCAUUGUUGCACCUAUCUCAAAAUAUUCCUGACACUCAUCCCAACCUCAGAUUGCAGUGCGUAUUCCACCUGCAGCAAGGUUUGUAAUGAAAUCCGGCAAUAAAGAAGCAUUCAUCCUGCUCUGGCACAAAUGUAUCAACAGCUUCAUAAUUGUCUUUCAAUAGGAUUACUCUCCUAUGCAGCCCCGUGUGUUUUAUGUUUGCCUCGACACACUGUAUUGUGAUGAAGUUGACCCAUAUCUCACACCAUGGAUGAUUAGUGACCUAAGAAGGAAGUCCAGAAACUCUGAAAAGAGAAACACAAACCCAAAGCUUCAAGACCUCGUUUUUCACAAUGGAGACCCAGAUAUGGGAUCACAAGCUUAGCAGCAAAAGGAAGUAUAGAUACAUUGGGCUUCAUAAAAAUCAAAGACUUGGGGGGGGGUGUAAAGGGAAGCUGAUAUCAAGGAGUUCAAGAAGGAAGAAAAUGUUUUGAAACUGAUUGUAGUAGCAACUGUACAAGACUGUUUGGUGCAAUUGAACUGUGGAAUGAUAUGAUAGCCGUAAGAGCUUCCAAUAAAAUGGUUUUGGGGGAAAAAAAAAAAAACUUUUGUACAUCAAAGGACCUUGUCAAAAAGUGAAGGGGCAACCUACAG
This is a long non-coding RNA of Echinops telfairi (small Madagascar hedgehog), 926 nucleotides long. RefSeq lists it as uncharacterized. Lineage: Eukaryota; Metazoa; Chordata; Mammalia; Afrosoricida; Tenrecidae. The transcript has 3 exons. The record is from RefSeq and is a predicted model, not a curated record.